Molecule: ribosomal RNA, 253 nt
Filed under: uncultured bacterium
Lineage: Bacteria
Description: partial 16S ribosomal RNA
Rfam family: Bacterial small subunit ribosomal RNA
Source: RNAcentral
UACAGAGGUGGCAAGCGUUGUUCGGAAUUACUGGGCGUAAAGCGCACGUAGGCGGACUGUUAAGUCGGGGGUGAAAUCCUGGGGCUCAACCUCAGAAUUGCCUCCGAUACUGGCAGUCUCGAGUGCGGGAGAGGUGAGUGGAAUUCCCAGUGUAGAGGUGAAAUUCGUAGAUAUUGGGAAGAACACCAGUGGCGAAGGCGGCUCACUGGCCCGUAACUGACGCUGAGGUGCGAAAGCGUGGGGAGCAAACAGG